CGGAAUGCGGGGUGCUAUACAUGCAAGUCGAACGCUUCUUUCCUCCCGAGUGCUUGCACUCAAUUGGAAAGAGGAGUGGCGGACGGGUGAGUAACACGUGGGUAACCUACCCAUCAGAGGGGGAUAACACUUGGAAACAGGUGCUAAUACCGCAUAACAGUUUAUGCCGCAUGGCAUAAGAGUGAAAGGCGCUUUCGGGUGUCGCUGAUGGAUGGACCCGCGGUGCAUUAGCUAGUUGGUGAGGUAACGGCUCACCAAGGCCACGAUGCAUAGCCGACCUGAGAGGGUGAUCGGCCACACUGGGACUGAGACACGGCCCAGACUCCUACGGGAGGCAGCAGUAGGGAAUCUUCGGCAAUGGACGAAAGUCUGACCGAGCAACGCCGCGUGAGUGAAGAAGGUUUUCGGAUCGUAAAACUCUGUUGUUAGAGAAGAACAAGGACGUUAGUAACUGAACGUCCCCUGACGGUAUCUAACCAGAAAGCCACGGCUAACUACGUGCCAGCAGCCGCGGUAAUACGUAGGUGGCAAGCGUUGUCCGGAUUUAUUGGGCGUAAAGCGAGCGCAGGCGGUUUCUUAAGUCUGAUGUGAAAGCCCCCGGCUCAACCGGGGAGGGUCAUUGGAAACUGGGAGACUUGAGUGCAGAAGAGGAGAGUGGAAUUCCAUGUGUAGCGGUGAAAUGCGUAGAUAUAUGGAGGAACACCAGUGGCGAAGGCGGCUCUCUGGUCUGUAACUGACGCUGAGGCUCGAAAGCGUGGGGAGCAAACAGGAUUAGAUACCCUGGUAGUCCACGCCGUAAACGAUGAGUGCUAAGUGUUGGAGGGUUUCCGCCCUUCAGUGCUGCAGCAAACGCAUUAAGCACUCCGCCUGGGGAGUACGACCGCAAGGUUGAAACUCAAAGGAAUUGACGGGGGCCCGCACAAGCGGUGGAGCAUGUGGUUUAAUUCGAAGCAACGCGAAGAACCUUACCAGGUCUUGACAUCCUUUGACCACUCUAGAGAUAGAGCUUUCCCUUCGGGGACAAAGUGACAGGUGGUGCAUGGUUGUCGUCAGCUCGUGUCGUGAGAUGUUGGGUUAAGUCCCGCAACGAGCGCAACCCUUAUUGUAGUGCAUCAUUAGUGGGGCACCUCUAGCGAGACUGCGUGACAACGGAGAGGUGGGGGAUGACGUCAUCAUCAUGGCCCUAAUGACUGGCUACCCACGUGCUACAAUGGGAAGUACAACCGAGUCGCC
Molecule: ribosomal RNA, 1233 nt
Filed under: Enterococcus faecalis
Lineage: Bacteria; Bacillati; Bacillota; Bacilli; Lactobacillales; Enterococcaceae
Description: bacterial SSU rRNA
Rfam family: Bacterial small subunit ribosomal RNA
Source: RNAcentral